GCCGGGCAUGGUGGCUCAUGCCUGUAAUCCCAGCACUUUGGGAGGCCGAGGCAGGCGGAUCACCUGAGGUCAGGAGUUCGAGACCAGCCUGACCAACAUGGUGAAACUCUGUCUCUA
Macaca fascicularis (crab-eating macaque) is the source of this 117-nucleotide unclassified non-coding RNA. It matches the Rfam family "Metazoan signal recognition particle RNA". From Rfam's summary of the family: The signal recognition particle (SRP) is a universally conserved ribonucleoprotein. It is involved in the co-translational targeting of proteins to membranes. The eukaryotic SRP consists of a 300-nucleotide 7S RNA and six proteins: SRPs 72, 68, 54, 19, 14, and 9. Lineage: Eukaryota; Metazoa; Chordata; Mammalia; Primates; Cercopithecidae. The record is from Ensembl.